Molecule: long non-coding RNA, 4765 nt
Filed under: Homo sapiens (human)
Lineage: Eukaryota; Metazoa; Chordata; Mammalia; Primates; Hominidae
Description: non-protein coding lnc-ARL16-3:1
Source: RNAcentral
CCCGCACCCCGCACAGCCAAUGCGCGCGCGCGCCCCGGGGGCGGGACCGCUAGGCCACGCCCCCUGCGAUUGAGGCGGGCCCGGCGCCUUAAAGCGGCCGCGAGGGGCGCCGAGCGCGGUGGGCCCGGCCUGCGGACGCGCGGGUGCUCCGGGGCUGCUGCGUGGCCGCCUCCACUCCCCCGGGCCCCUGGCGUCCUCCCUUCUCCAGGCCGGAGCGCAGGGCCGAAGGCCACCGCCCGGGGACCGGCCCCAGGCACAUGGGACCGCGGCGGGCGCCCUGCCAAUCCCCAGGAGGCCCGGCCCCUGGCCCUGAACCUGCACCCGGUGGCCACCCCGCCGCGCAGGCGCUGGCUCGUGAGUCACCUGGCGGGGGCCACGUGUGUGCGGCGUGGGCCCUGCGUCCACAGGUCUGCAACCCCUGCCCCCACCGAGGGCUCAGCCCCGGCCCAGCUGCAAGAGAACAGAAAACCGGCUUCGGGAGCCGGGCGCGGUGGCUCACGCCUGUAAUCCCAGUUACUCAGGAAGCUGAGGCAGUAGAAUCGCUUGAAUCCGGGAGGCAGAGGUUGCAGUGAGCUGAGAUCGCGCCACUGCACUCCAGCCUGGGCGACAGAGCGAGACUCCAUCUCAAAAAAAAAAAAAAAAAAAAGAAAAAGAAAAGAAAAAAAGAACCUGCUUGGGGCCAGACUGAAUGAAAACUGGGAAAAAAGGCGGUUAGGAAGGACUUGCCUCUCCCUUCCCACACACAGAUGCCCGGAAGCUCCUGCUCAGUUCUGGUCUGGCUCUGACCAGACGCCCCAGGCAACCACCCUGGAAGUGGGGCCCCGGGGUGGAUUCUGGGGCUCUUGUUCCCAGGAGAUGCCUGCCUGCAUCUGGGCCCCUGCUUGGAUUCCACUUCCCUGCGAAGAACAAGGAGGCGCUGGUGUGUUCCUGGCCCAGGUGCACCUGCUGGGCAAAAUGAAAUUUAAGUCCCCAAGGCUGCUUUAGGGCUGGGCCACAGGGAUGAAGACCUGCAGCUCCAGCUUGGUCACUGCUGUCCGGCCUCCCCCACCCUCCAGGGCGAAGGGUGAGGAGCACCGGAAAAACAACUCGUGGUCCCUGGAACCCCUCAAGCACCAGAAUGUGUCCAGCCCUGCCUCUGCGCAUCCAGCGAUGCCCUGGCUGUGUCGGAAGCGCAAGACGCACACUUAGGAUUUUCAGCUUGGCUGUGGGUUUAUUGGGCCGUAACCCCAACGUAGGCAGGUAGCCAACUGGAGGAGACUGUUUUCUAGACCCUUAGGUGGCCUCUGACCCCAGAAGUCAUCAGCGGAAGAUUUGGGCUGGGGAGUGAGCAGCUAACCAGAGGCGGUACCCCUGCCCGGAAGUGUGUCCUGGACCUUGGUUUGGUUGGGUCCCUCAGGUGUUGCCCACACAGACCGUAACUACCUGGCAAUCGAGAAGGGUGCCAGAUGGACACUGGGGGUGAAAACACAGCCACGCCUGGUGGGGAAGCGGGUGGAGGUGCUCAGGAGGCAACCAGGAGAGUGCAGUGCAGCACUGCCCGCACCAAGCCUGGGCUGGGGCUCAACAGGAAGCGUGGAGAUGGCGCAAAUGCACCGCAGGGACUCAGAGGGAUCACGCUGGGCUUAAAAGGCCCAGAGCAAACAGACUCAACCGUUAGGAAGCAGGGGAAGUGGCCCGAUCUUAACGGAAAUUUCCCAGCAAGAGGACAGGCUUCCUUGUCCGGGGCCAUCCAGGCUCACACCUGACUGAGUCCCGCAGACUUGGCUGUGCCCACAGCGCCUGUCUCACUCAGUGUAAACCGAGAUGAGUUGCAUCCAUCGGCUCCCGAUUACCAAGAAUCAAGAGGCGAUGGAUGGAAACCUUGGGGGAAGCAGGGCCUGGAGGGCCAGUGUCCCCUGAGUCUGUGAGACACUCCAGGAAGGAGGGGGGCGGGCCUGGGCUGCAACCUGUCCCUCCGAAGGCCACCUGCAAGACAGGGCUGAAACUGGCUGCUGGCAGAGACCCCCCAACCCACAGAACACUGGCUCCCUGCUGAAGGAAGAACUGCUCCAAAGCAGAAAGAGCAGGGCCCAGCGGGUAAGGAGCAGGAACUGAAGAGCUUUACAAAGAACAAAAAAGGCUGGGCAGGGCAGCUCUCACCUGUAAUCCCAGCACUUUGGGAGGCCAAGGUAGGAGGAUCUCUUGAGGCCAGGCGUUUCAGACCAGCCUGCGCAACACAGUGAGACCACAUCUCUAAAAAAAAUCAAAAGAUUAGCCAGGCAUGAUGGCACGUGCCUAUAGUCCCAGCUACCUGGGAGGAUGAGGUAGGACGAUUGCUUGUGCACAGGAGGCUGAGGCUGCAGUGAGCCUUGAUCAGGCCACUGCACUCCAGCUCGGGUGACAGAGUGAGAUCGUGUCUAUAUUAAAAAAUAAAAAUAGGCCAGGUGUGGUGGCUCACACCUGUAAUCCCAGCACUUUGGGAGGCCGAGGUGGGUGAUCACCUGGGGUUAGGAAUUCGAGACCAUCCUGGCCAACGUGGUGAAACGCUGCCUCUACUAAAAAUACAAAAAUUAGCUGGGUGUUGUGGCGGGCGCCUGUAAUCCCAGCUACUAGGGAGGCUAAGGCAGGAGAAUCGCUUGAACCUGGGAGGUGGAGGUUGCAGUGAGCCAAGAUCGUGCCAUUGCACUCCAGCCUGGGUGACAAGAGCAAAACUCACUCAAAAAAAAUUAAAAUUAAAAAAGAUAAAAAUAAGGUUCAAGACCAGCCUGGCCAACAGGGUGAAACCCUAUCUCUACUAAUAAAAAUACAAAAUUAGCUGGGCGUGGUGGUGCAUGCCUGUAAUUCCAGCUUCUUGGGAAGGUGAGGCAGGACAAUUGCUUGAACCCGGCAGGUGGAGGCUGCAGUGAGCCAAGACUGCACCACCAGCCCAGGUGACAAACUGACACCGUUUCAUAAAAAUAAAUACAUAAAUAAGUAAAUAAAACAUUAAAAAAAAUAGAACAAAAGUGCAAGGAGCUGUAGGGGACUGAAGUUUGUGAACUCCGUGAGCUAGAGAUGCUGGGAGAGCAGUCAGAAGGCGAGGAAUCCUGAAAACAGGAAAUGCAUCCAGGGCCAGAGGCUUUUUCAAAUGAUGAAUCUAGAACUGCAGGUCGGGGACUCACAAGGAUCCCUGAUGGAUUCUCAAACGGAUCAUAAGUUAUGUCGGUAGGCCCAAGGGGGUGGUUGGGGCAGACUGAGCAAGCUCACGGGACAGGGCUCCCCGUCCAGCCUCCGACUGCGGCCUGGCAUCCACCGCAGUGUCCUGCUGCUUGGCAUCCACAGGUUAUUUUGGGGGUCCCCCGGCAGGGAGGAAAGGGCCUCUCGGUGGCUCCUGCGAGUGGCCUGGCAGACGCCUGAGCCAGGGUAGACAGCGAGGAGUCGCGGGCAGAGAUUUUGCUGGUCUAUCUGGCCUGGGUGCAGCCUGGAUGAAGACAGCAUGUCUGUCUGACCUCAAGCAGGGCUCGUCCCUGAGCUCAGAUGUUCGCUGCCUUCCAGAGGGGAAAGGCAGUUGGGGUCAGCAGGGCACCAGGCAGAAUGCACCCAGCUCCAGGUGGCAGUGUCACCUCCUGAGGGAAGACCAUUAACCCCUCAAAAUGGAUACCAUGGCCAAUGGGGACUUCCAGGCUUGGCUUGGGACAGCCUUUCCUGGGGACAGCAGGUUAGUCAGAGAAACUCUACCAGAAGGCCUUGGAAGAGGACCUGGGCCAGGCAGGGUGUACACGCACAGUGAGCCUGAAACUCCCUGCCCCUCCCGCUCCCCCAGGAGUCCCAGCCAGUGGGCAGCUUCCAGACACACGGUGCCCCUUUCUGGUCCCAUCCAAGGGAUCCUUCCACCAGGAAAACUGAGGCUGGAGGGCAUGGCAGCCUACGGGGCCAUCACACCAGGCAUGUUUCCCGAAGCAGGUGCGGAACAUGGCCUGUCUCUGGCCUCAUUGUGGGCCCACAGCCUGGGGGCUGGCCUUGGUCACGGGCCAGCUGAGACAGAAAUUCGCUGAUUCUCUCCCAGGCUUGGCUGAAAACAGGCGUGCCCAAGAAAAGGCGGCCACGGGUCCUCAAAGCAAGGCCCUGGCCGUUCCAGCCAGGCCAUGGGGCCACACCCCCUGUACUCAGCAGUGGCACCAAGGGGUCUGCAGCCCGAGAGUGGCUGCCAAGGGCUGCCCAGCACUGGGCCACACCUCACCAAGUGCACAGUGACCAGUGCUCCAAGCUGACCACGGCACUCCCGGUCCCCAUGUCCACAAGCCCCUCCUGCCGCUUUGCCCAGGUCCCAGGAUACCCCACUUAAGGGCCCCAGAGGAACAGCUGACACCCCAACCCUGCAGAUGGCAGGUGCAUCCCACACCCCUCCCCAAUCCCCCUGCGCAGCCCCGUGGCCGGGUUUAGGUUCAGGGGUACUUGCAGCCUAAGCUAGGGGUGGCAUCGCCGGCUCCAAGGCUGCCUCGGUUUCUCAGGCGAGUGCUGAACUUCCUGUUGCCUUAAAGAGGGCCAACACUGAAAACAGGGAGGGUUCCCGCUGCCCAGGUCCUCCACACCACUGCCGUCCACCAGGCCCACUGUGGGGUCUCAGGACAGGGCCCUGCACACCGGGGACCUGAUGAAUGUCUGUAGACUCUCAGAUGUCUGCUGAGGAGGCAGGGAACAAGCCUCCCAUCCCGUACCAGCCUCGAUCCCCGCACUGGCCCCGCAGCUCGGCCUGAGCACCGCACUCCACACGCUGCCCGGAUCCCCGCACUGGCCCGGCAGCCCG